Molecule: long non-coding RNA, 2149 nt
Organism: Macaca fascicularis (crab-eating macaque)
Lineage: Eukaryota; Metazoa; Chordata; Mammalia; Primates; Cercopithecidae
Source: Ensembl
GGGGAAGAGAGGGAAAGGGAAGGGUUAAAAUUGCCAAUUUUAUGUUAUAUAUAUUUAAACCAUAAUCUUUAAAAGUAAUAUACCAAAAGUAAUUCACUCAUAUAAAGUGAAUUAUACACUUUAAAUGAGUGAAUUAUAUGGUUUGUGAAUUAUACCUCAGUAAAAGGAUAUUCUCCAUCCCAACCUAAAACUUCUGUCCCCUCCUCAGAGGCAACUAUUUGUUUCUUAGCUUUCUUUCUAGAAAGAGUCUAGGCAUAAACAAGUGCAUCUGAAAAUCUAUCAUACUUUUUCUUUUCAUACAAAUGAAAGGAAGUGAUACACCAUUUUACACUCUGCUUUUUUUUACUUAAUCUCUCUUAGGUUAUUGUGUAUCAGCACGUGCAGAUUUACUGCCUUCUUUUCCACUUCUACAUAGAAGCCCACUGGAGGGACCUAUCAUACUUUGUUUAAUGAGUUAACUGAGGAAUAUCUUGUUUCUAGUCUUUUUUUUUUUUUUUGAGACAGGGUCUUGCUGUGUCACCCAGGCUGGACUGCAAUGGCAUGAUCAUGGCUCACUGCAGCCUCCAACUCCUGGGGCUCAAGCAAUCCUUUCAUCUCAGCCCCUUAAGUAACUUGAACCACAGACAGGUGCCACUAUGUCUGUUUAUUUAUAUACUUGGUAGAGAUGGACUCUCACUGUGUUGCCCAGGCUGGUCUUGAGCUCCUGAGUUCAAGUGAUCCUCCUGCCUCGGCUUCCCGAAGUGCUGGGAUUAUAGGCAUGAACCACCAUGCCUGAUACCCAUGGUUUUAGGCAGACGCAUGAAUACAUCAUCUAUAGGAUAAAUUCCUAGUUCUGGUGUUGCAGGGUCCAAAGGUUAGCGCGUGUUAAGUAUUACUAUUGCCAAACUGACUUCCAUAGAACCUAUACCAGUUUACUCUUACCAAGAAUUCAUUCACUCACUUUUUUCGUUCAACCAACACUGAGUACCUAUCAUGACCCAGGCACAAUUCUAAGUCUUGGGGACACAGCAAAUGAGCAAUAACAACAGGAAUAAAAAGAUAAAAAUCUAUUCCCUAAUGGAGCUUACAGUCUCACAGAGGGAGAGGGCAAACCAAAAAGUAAAAUAUGUAACAUCUUAGGUGGUAAUAAAUGCUAUGGUUGGCCAGGCGUGGUGGCUCACACCUGUAAUCCCAGCACUUUGGGAGGCCAAGGCGGGCAGAUCAUGAGGUCAGGAGGUCAAGACCAUCCUGGCUAACACGGUGAAACCCCAUCUCUACUAAAAAUACAAAAAAAUUAGCCCGCCGUGGUGGUGGGUGCCUGUAGUCCCAGCUACGCGGGAGGCUGAGGCAGGAGAAUGGUGUGAACCUGGGAGGCGGAGCUUGCAGUGAGCCGAAAACACCCUGGGCGACAGAGUGAGACUCUAGCUUAAAAAAAAAAAAAAUGCUAUGGCUAAAAUAAGGCAGAGAAAGGAGUGUUGGCCAUGGGUAAGGGCUAGUAAUUUAAAUAGGAUAGUUAGGGUAUAAAAAUUCUAAGCCUCAGCUUCCUUAUCUGUAAAGCAGGACAACAAUAGUACCUAUGCUGGCCAGGGGCUGUGGCUCAUGCCUGUAAUCACUGCACUUUGGGAGGCUGAGGUGAGCAGAUCAUUUGAGGCCAGGAGUUCAAGACCAGCCUGACCAACAUGGUGAAAUCCCGUUUCUACUAAAAUUAUAAAAAUUAGCCGGGCAUGGUGGUACACACCUGUAAUACCAGCUACUCGGGAGGCUGAGGCAGGGAAAUUGCUUGAGCCCGGAGGCAGAGGUUGCAGUGGGCCAAGACAACACUACUGCAUUCCCCCCUGGGUGACAGAGCAAGAUUUCAUUAAAAAAAAAAAAAAGCCGGGCGCGGUGGCUCACGCCUGUAAUCCCAGCACUUUGGGAGGCCGAGGUGGGCGGAUCACAAGGUCAGGAGAUCGAGACCACGGUGAAACCCCGUCUCUACUAAAAAUACAAAAAAUUAGCCGGGCGCGGUUGUGAAGCCUGUAGUCCCAGCUACUCGGGAGGCUGAGGCAGGAGAAUGGCGUGAACCCGGGAGGCGGAGCUUGCAGUGAGCGAGAUCGCGCCACUGCACUCCAGCCUGGCGACAGAGCCAGACUCCGUCUCAAAAAAAAAAAAAAAAAAAAAAAAAAAAAAA